UGGAUCCAGACUUUGAUCCUGGCUCAGGACGAACGCUGGCGGCGUGCCUAACACAUGCAAGUCGAGCGGAGACAGUGAGUAGCUUGCUACGAGCUGUUUUAGCGGCGGACGGGUGAGUAACGCGUGAGCAACCUUUCCCAGACAGGGGAAUAACACACCGAAAGGUGUACUAAUACCGCAUAAGACCACGGGAUCACAUGGUUCUGAGGUAAAAGAUUUAUCGGUUUGGGGUGGGCUCGCGUCCGAUUAGGUAGUUGGUGAGGUAACGGCCCACCAAGCCGACGAUCGGUAGCCGACCUGAGAGGGUGAUCGGCCACAUUGGGACUGAGACACGGCCCAAACUCCUACGGGAGGCAGCAGUGGGGAAUAUUGGGCAAUGGGGGGAACCCUGACCCAGCAACGCCGCGUGGAGGAAGAAGGUUUUCGGAUCGUAAACUCCUGUCCUUGGAGACGAGUAGAAGACGGUAUCCAAGGAGGAAGCCCCGGCUAACUACGUGCCAGCAGCCGCGGUAAUACGUAGGGGGCAAGCGUUGUCCGGAAUAAUUGGGCGUAAAGGGCGCGUAGGCGGCUCGGUAAGUCUGGAGUGAAAGUCCUGCUUUUAAGGUGGGAAUUGCUUUGGAUACUGUCGGGCUUGAGUGCAGGAGAGGUUAGUGGAAUUCCCAGUGUAGCGGUGAAAUGCGUAGAGAUUGGGAGGAACACCAGUGGCGAAGGCGGCUUACUGGACUGUAACUGACGUUGAGGCUCGAAAGCGUGGGGAGCAAACAGGAUUAGAUACCCUGGUAGUCCACGCCGUAAACGAUGAUUACUAGGUGUCGGGGGACCAAGGUCCUUCGGUGCCGCCGCAAACGCAAUAAGUAAUCCACCUGGGGAGUACGUUCGCAAGAAUGCAACUCAAAUGAAUUGACGGA
This 908-nucleotide ribosomal RNA is filed under the name uncultured Bacillota bacterium. Its description in RNAcentral is "bacterial SSU rRNA". It matches the Rfam family "Bacterial small subunit ribosomal RNA", at positions 1 to 917 of the family's 1533-position model. Lineage: Bacteria; Bacillati; Bacillota. The record is from RNAcentral.